RNAcentral lists this ribosomal RNA (393 nucleotides) under uncultured bacterium. RNAcentral's name for it is "bacterial SSU rRNA". It matches the Rfam family "Bacterial small subunit ribosomal RNA", at positions 28 to 412 of the family's 1533-position model. The record is from RNAcentral.
GACGAACGCUGGCGGCGCGCUUAACACAUGCAAGUCGAGCGAGAACCAGGACUUCGGUCCUGGGGACAGCGGCGAACGGGUGAGUAACACGUGGAUAACCUGCCCUCGGCACCGGGAUAGCCCGAGGAAACUCGGAUUAAUACCGGAUAGCCCUUCCGACUCUCGAGUCGGUCCGAAAAGGUAGCUUCGGCCUCUGGCCGAGGAUGGGUCCGCGGCGGAUUAGCUUGUUGGGUGGGGUAACGGCCGUACCAAGGCAUCGAUCCGUAGCUGGUCUGAGAGGACGAUCAGCCACACUGGGACUGAGACACGGCCCAGACUCCUACGGGAGGCAGCAGUGGGGAAUAUUGCACAAUGGGCGAAAGCCUGAUGCAGCGACGCCGCGUGAGGGAUGAC